This 261-nucleotide ribosomal RNA is filed under the name uncultured bacterium. Its description in RNAcentral is "partial 16S ribosomal RNA". It matches the Rfam family "Bacterial small subunit ribosomal RNA", at positions 28 to 294 of the family's 1533-position model. The record is from RNAcentral.
GACGAACGCUGGCGGCGUGCUUAACACAUGCAAGUCGAACGAUGAAGCCUUUCGGGUGGAUUAGUGGCGAACGGGUGAGUAACACGUGGGCAAUCUGCCCUGUACUUUGGGAUAAGCCUUGGAAACGGGGUCUAAUACCGGAUAUCACUUACCUCCGCAUGGGGGUUGGUUGAAAGUUCUGGCGGUACAGGAUGAGCCCGCGGCCUAUCAGCUUGUUGGUGGGGUAGUGGCCUACCAAGGCGACGACGGGUAGCCGGCCGU